Molecule: long non-coding RNA, 4485 nt
Filed under: Canis lupus familiaris (dog)
Lineage: Eukaryota; Metazoa; Chordata; Mammalia; Carnivora; Canidae
Description: lncRNA (ENSCAFG00040020335.1)
Source: RNAcentral
AUGAUCUCUCUUUCUUGCUGUUUUUUUUUUUUUUUUUUUUUUCUUGUAGUAACAGUUUGCAAUACAGAGCAAACCAUUCUUUUGCUGUGGCUUAUUAAAGAGAUGAACAGCUGGAUAUUAGGAAUAACUCUGGACAUACCUGUUUCAAGUGAACAAAAGCAAACAAAUACAGAAGUCUGUAACCCAAUAUAUUCUCAAGCACAAACUAAGCAGUUGAAUAUGGGAUCACUGCAGAGGCCAAGCUCUGGUUCAGGUUAUCAGACCACAAGAAACCACAUCAAGACCAGACAUAAGGACCAGAAAUCCUGGAUUCUGAAGUGGACACAGGAUAGUACACCUAUGACUGCAGACAGAGCUUAAGACCUGAGUAAGAUCUUCUUUGAAGCAUUCAGGACCUCUCUACAGUGUAAGACCGUGGAGUCACCAAAGGCCAAAGAUAUGGAAGAAAAACUAAGAUCUCCAUGGCAUACUGUGUCCUCAUGAAAUACAAAAAAGUGGAUGUCAAAAACUGAAGGAAGAGUCAGAGGGCUAAGAGACUUUCUCCUCAAGGUACUCUGGGCUUUAUUGAAUACUGUGUAAUUGUCCUGUGAAGACUGAUGGCAAGGUAACAAAAUGGGUAUAUAUCACUCAAGGAGCCAAAAAUUAAGGGUGGGAAUGGAGAGCGAACAUAGCUCCCCAGCAGUGGAAAAAGCUGGCAGAUAGCAUAUAAAACAGAGAUCUCUUAAAGUUCAUGAAACUUUUACAUUAUUUUGGAAGCCAUAUAAUACCAUUUGAAGGUAGACUUGAUUUUAAACAUCAUAUAGUAAUUUGUGGAGCAAAUCUAAAUAGACACAGACAUAACUAAAAAGACACUUUAAGUUAAAAGAUUAUUAAAAAUAGAUCACCCAAGAUAAGUAAGGAAGGAAGGCAUAUAGGAACAAAGAAGGGAUUAAUUAGAAAAUAAAUGUAAGCAGAAAACUUACGCUCGAUCAUAUCAACAUUAAAUGAAAAAAGAUUAAAUCUUCAAUUAAAAGGGAAAGUUUGGCAGACUGGAUGAAAAUGAAAAAGAAGAAAAACCAUAUAGUUCUCUGGGGUUCAUCCAAGAUGGGGACCUAGGAGAUUCCUGAACUCCCAGUUCAGUCUCACAGACACACUGAAUGUACAACUAUAAACAGCAAAUUCACCCCUGAAUGAAAUCCAGAAACUAGCUGAGAGAUUCCUACACAUUAAGUGAAAGAGAAAAUAUCCAUAUGGAAACAGGUAGGACAAGCAGAGACACACUCGCCAUCAAUCCCACCCUUGACACAAUGCCAUGUGGGAGGAAACCUGAGUUUCUCCCUGAAGAAUGAAAGGUUUGGAUUCCAGAUUUGGCACUUUGACUUUUAAGACUCCCACACCUGAGGAAUAGGCCCCAAAACACCUCGCUCUGAAAGGCAAUGAGGCUUGCAUCCAUGAGACCUACAAGACUACAGCAAACAAAGAAAGCAGUAGUUAUUGGACACACAAGCACUAGUAACUUCAGUCUACCAGGGUUCAGCAUAGAGGCAGGCAAAAUUGCUUAUUUCCCAGUCUUAUCCUAAAAAAGAGUGUAUUUGUGUACUUUGAAUUCUAUGGCCUGAGGGUCAUGCUUCUAAUUUAGUACACAUCUAGAGGCUGGCUGUGAUUCUCUUUGGGUACUGGGGAAACCAGGCAGACACCUCCUGUGUGGUCUUCAUCAGGUCAACUCCAUUUGGCAGUAUCUCCAUGGAAGGAGCACAUAUAAACAUCUGUGCUUUGACUUUUGUGGUGCCACCUGAAUGAUGGGACUCCUAAUCACCUGGCUGGGACAGCCAGUGUGACUUACAUACACAAGUUCCCUAGAAAUGUAGCAAAAAAGGAAGGAGUUCCUAACCAGCUAUUACCCCAGGGCUCAGGGAGCAAGCAAAACUUACCCAUUUCUCAGUCUUUCCCUGAGAGAGGUCGAUCUAUAAACUUUAAAAGCUUCUGCUUAAACAUUAAGCUUCUAAUAUAACAUGUGUGUAGUGGAUGGUUACAGUCCUCCCCACAGAGCAAGGAAGCUGCCAGAAAUAACUUCCACCUUCUCUCUCUAGCCUGUUCCAAGGCCUCAGUAAUGACAUGGAAGGAGAAUUGUUCCUGCUGACCAAGAGAUAGGCUUCAGUAUUUCCUGUCCCACAUAGCCAACGGGAUUUACAUUUAUGAGUUCCACAUGCCAAUGGCAAACGAAGCUGUUAAUGGCCACAGGAGUACCCCUUGCAGCUAGACACCCAGGCUCAGAAUAGAGAAGCAAGCAAAAAUACUCAUGUCCCAGUUUCUCCAUGGAAGAGUCUUAACUGCAUACUCUUACAGCUGAUGCCUGAGGGUCCUGCUUCUCCUCAGCCUUCUAGGUGCAGAAUGUGACCCUUCUCUUCAUGAUGUUGAUGAGUCUUGGCACACUGUCAUCUCCUGGGUAGUUGAACAGGGAAGACAUUUUAGAUGAUCACAAAAGUCUGAGAAACAACCAGGAGAUUGGACGGGGCUGAUUGAUGAGAUUCAUCUACACAAGACUACCUUGUCAAUACUGGAAUGUACAGAAACAAAAACAGAGUAAGGAAAAAUGAAGAAAUGAAGGAAUGUGUUGUAAUCAAAAGAACAAGAUAAAAUUCCAGAAACAGAUAUUAAUGAAAUGGAGAUACACGAUUUACCUGAAACUUUAAAAUAGCAGGCAUAAAGAUGCUCACUUGGUUCAGGAAAGAAAGGCAUGAAAAUAAUCACUGGGUUUCAACAAAGAGGAGAAAGAUAUUUAAAAAGUACCAAACAGAGACCACAGAGCUGAAGAAUACAAAAAAUGAACCAGACAGUUUAGAGGAGGGGUUUAAGAACAGACUAGACCAAGCAGAUGAAAACAGCAGUGAGUAGAAGACAGGGCAGUGGAAUUCAUCCAGUUAGAGGAGCAAGAAGAAAGAAAGAAUUAGAAAGAGUUAAGAUAACUUAAUACACAUUGUUUAAAACUCCUCUGUUAUUCUGAAACCAAUUUGGAAGGUACAGCUGAUAGAUACAGACUUCUACAAAGGGAAAAUAUGCAUCUGGAUUUUCACAUUUCUAUUAUAGUUGGCUAUCAUGUGUGAUCUAUGAUUUGUAUGAACCUGCCUUGAAAAGCCAACCCUUAGGUAAAACGUAUUUAGGUCACUGGAAUUUCACUGAAUAGGAGGAAGAGUGAUAAAGACCUGAACAUAUUGAUGAGGUGAAGAAGACCCAAGGAUGAGUGGGUCUUGGGGGAAAAAAAUAAAGACUAAAAUGUCGAGUGUUAAAUUCUAGAGUGCUUUCGGAGAAAGAAGACAGAAAACAUCAUCUCUUGAGUAUUCAACAAAUUCCUCUGAGAAGUUCGAACUAGCUCUCAAAGAUAUUAAAGAAAGUACGGUUAAUAAGGAUACAGAUUCAUCCUUGAAAUAAUAGAACACAAAAAGGAUACCAUUUGCAAGCUAGUAGAUUUAGUAAAGGUUAUACCUGGUAAAGGUAUUCUGUAUACUAGAUCAUUUGCUAGCCAAUAUACUUCACUUGGUUUAUCUCAUGACAUUGUUUUUACCAGGCUUAUAUACUGUUAUUAAUCCAUUUUCAAAGAUGAAGGAAUUGAAUUUCAAAAACAAUUUAACUGCCCAAGACCAAAAGCAUAGCAUAUUGUAGAGCUAGAAUCCAAACCCAGACAUUUUGUCUAAGUCCGGUUGUGGUGCAGACAGAGCAUCACUGAAAUUGCAUUCCUGUGUUUUGGACUUAAUAGAAAAGCAAAUGAAAUCAGAAGAUAGCUUAUAAACUGAGAAAAAAUGGGAAACAAAGUACAAACAGCAUUUUAGAUAGAAGUGAGAAAAGUAAAAGUAUACAUGAUUUUGAACAGAAAGGAAAUUGGGAUCCCUGGGUGGCUUGGUGGCUAAAGCGUCUGCCUUCAGCUCAGGGUGUGAUCCUGGAGUCCUGGGAUCGGGUCCCACCUCGGGCUCCCUGCAUUGAGGCCUGCUUCUUCCUCUGCCUGUGUCUCUGCCUCUCUCUCUGUGUCUCUCAUAAAAAAAAAUAAAUAAAAUAAAAAAAAAUAAAUAAAAUCUUAAAAAAAAAGAAAGGAAAUUUCACAACUCAAGUCAGUUUUGAAUAACGACUAGGCUUGUGUUGAUUAUUUUGAGUAAAGACUAGGUUGGUUUGGUUAUUGAAGAGGCAUGAGUGAAAAUUCAUAAACCUUGCUUUAACUAGAUCAUAUACUGCAGACACUUGAGAAGUGAAUCAAUCAAGUGAGGCUGACUAUAACAACAAGAGGGCAUGGAAGUUUAUAUUCAGUUAUUUUAAAAAUGUUGUAAAAAGAAAAGAAAGAUAAUGUUAAAAUGGGUUUAAGCAAGUCACUUCCUUAAAGGUUUAAGGUUUUGAAAUAUUCUCUGGUAUAAUUUAACUAAAAGUUACUACAGAAGAAAAUUGAGAUGCAUUAGAGGUUGUUUUAGUCUUUUGAGCUGCUAAAGCAAAAUACCCCAGACUGGGUAGGGUAGCUUAUAA